GACGAACGCUGGCGGCGUGCCUAACACAUGCAAGUCGAGCGGAGACAUUGGCUUCGGUUAAUGUUUUAGCGGCGGACGGGUGAGUAACGCGUGAGCAACCUUUCUCUUACUGGGGAAUAACACAGGGAAACUUGUACUAAUACCGCAUGAGACCACGGAAGGGCAUCCUUCAGAGGUCAAAGAUUUAUCGGUAAGAGGUGGGCUCGCGUCUGAUUAGAUAGUUGGUGGGGUAACGGCCUACCAAGUCGACGAUCAGUAGCCGACCUGAGAGGGUGAUCGGCCACAUUGGGACUGAGACACGGCCCAAACUCCUACGGGAGGCAGCAGUGGGGAAUAUUGGGCAAUGGGGGAAACCCUGACCCAGCAACGCCGCGUGGAGGAAGAAGGUUUUCGGAUCGUAAACUCCUGUCCUCAGGGAAGAGCAGAAGACGGUACCUGAGGAGGAAGCCCCGGCUAACUACGUG
Molecule: ribosomal RNA, 464 nt
Filed under: uncultured bacterium
Lineage: Bacteria
Description: bacterial SSU rRNA
Rfam family: Bacterial small subunit ribosomal RNA
Source: RNAcentral